CCUACGGGAGGCAGCAGUGAGGAAUAUUGGUCAAUGGGCGCAAGCCUGAACCAGCCAAGUCGCGUGAGGGAUGACGGUCCUAUGGAUUGUAAACCUCUUUUGUCGGGGAGCAAGGCCCGCCACGUGUGGCGGGAAGGAGAGUACCCGAAGAAAAAGCAUCGGCUAACUCCGUGCCAGCAGCCGCGGUAAUACGGAGGAUGCGAGCUUUAUCCGGAUUUAUUGGGUUUAAAGGGUGCGUAGGCGGAAGGUUAAGUCAGCGGUAAAAUGUCGGUGCUCAACACCGGCCGGCCGUUGAAACUGGUCUUCUUGAGUGAGCGAGAAGUAUGCGGAAUGCGUGGUGUAGCGGUGAAAUGCAUAGAUAUCACGCAGAACUCCGAUUGCGAAGGCAGCAUACCGGCGCUCAACUGACGCUGAGGCACGAAAGCGUGGGGAUCGAACAGGAUUAGAUACCCGGGUAGUC
This 460-nucleotide ribosomal RNA is filed under the name uncultured bacterium. RNAcentral's name for it is "partial 16S ribosomal RNA". It matches the Rfam family "Bacterial small subunit ribosomal RNA", at positions 338 to 795 of the family's 1533-position model. The record is from RNAcentral.